Perognathus longimembris pacificus (Pacific pocket mouse) is the source of this 451-nucleotide long non-coding RNA. RefSeq lists it as uncharacterized. Lineage: Eukaryota; Metazoa; Chordata; Mammalia; Rodentia; Heteromyidae. The transcript is spliced from 2 exons. The record is from RefSeq and is a predicted model, not a curated record.
GCAGCGGGACCGCAGGAGGGGAAGCGCAGCGCCCCGUGUGAGGGGGGGAGCCCCCCGGGAGCCCAGAGUCCCGUGUGCCGCGGUGGCGCAGCUGUCGUGGAGGGCAGGAAGGAAUGUCAACGUGGCAGGAAGGAAUGAUUUCUGUGGCAUUCGCUGAUGGGUCCCGUCACAGUGCGGGGGGCCACCGGGGCGCGUGGCCAGCUCUUCCUCUCUCCCAGAGCGGGAUCUGCAGCAGCGGAGCCCUGAUUUCCCGGCCGUGAUCCGAGUCCUCUCUCUACACGACAGUGCUGCCACCAGGCAGGCAGCCGCGUGAUCGAGCUGCAGGACUUUCAGUCAAAGUGCACUGUUGGAAAGAUGAAUCCAGAUCCUUGCCACAGAAGUUGGAAUACAGAAUCAAGGAUGUUAAAGUGAAAUAGCAAAAAAAUAAAAUAAAAUAAAUAUUCAACAUUGA